Molecule: long non-coding RNA, 2575 nt
Organism: Suricata suricatta (meerkat)
Lineage: Eukaryota; Metazoa; Chordata; Mammalia; Carnivora; Herpestidae
Exons: 2
Source: RefSeq, a predicted model, not a curated record
UGACCUGAGCCAAAGGAUGCUUAGCCAACUGAGCCACCCAGGCACCCCAUCCCCCUUCCCCGUUUUAGAAGAUGCUGCUCUGUCCCACGAUCUCCUGACCCUCUGUCUCCAUCAGCUCUUUGUCAGGUUAUUAUCACUCUGAGCAACAUCCAGGUUGAAGGGUGUGGAGAAAUAACAAAGACCUGCGGUUCCAGUGGACAGUUCCAGAUGGGGAAACUGAGGCCUAGAGAAACACAGAGGUUCAACCGAGACAUUUUCUAGGUCCUGACUCAGCUGCUCUGGGGAGGCUGGCUGGGGCCUUCUUUUUUGAAAAUACAUGCAUUGAUUUCUGUUUUUAGGGCAGUCCCAGUGCGCAGGGACUGCUCUGUGACCUGGAAGCUGACGUCUGUCCCUGUGGCCCUGCCGCCACCCCAGGCCUGGGUGUCCCCGGGUGCGCAGGCCCACGGUACCUGGGAGGUGCGCGUGUACUCCUCGUAGAGCUGGUCAUACUCGCGGCUCUUGUCCUGGUACUGCUGGUGAUAGACUUUGAGCUGGGCACCCACCGCCUCCACGCUGUCCUCCUUGACGAUCUGGUCCUAGGGACACCCGGUGUGAUCAGAGCAGCUGCCUGGGACACUUGUGCCGGAGGCUGGCACUGCCCGCCCCCCCUGGCCGCAGACCUGCUGGUACUUGGACACGGGAUAGAGGAGCCGUGUGUCCAGCUUGGCAUUGUACUGGGCCAGCGACUCAUGGCGGUAGUGGGUGAUGAGGUCCACGACGGAGCAGAAGGUGAGCGGCUCUGAGAAGCCAUAGUGCCCGUCACGAUGGAAGACCUUAAUCAGCUUGUUGUUGCCGCCUUUCCUGGGGGGGGGGGGUUUGAGAAGGGUGUCACCGCCAGGGGGGUCCCCAGCCACCCUGACGGUGCACAUGCCCCCCUCUCCAUGAAACCCCCCUCCCUGUCCCUCUGACCUGGGUGUCCCCCUUCCCACCCAGUCAUCCCUGAAGGGGCAGGCCCCCACCUGAGAGUCAGCGUGUACUCCCCCUGGAUCUUGCUAGAUGCAUCUCGGACCAGAAAGGUGCCGUCAGGCGUGUCCCGGAGUUUUUCAUUCACCUCCUCCCUGUGGGGACACCCAGGAUUGGGGCGCCCAGCCAGAGCCCCUUCCUCAGGCCCUGGCCCUCACACGGCCCCAUCCCACAACCCUACCUGGAGAUGUCACCCCAGUACCACUCAGCAUCUUGCAGCGAGGGCGGGCUCCCCCCGUUGGCGAGGCCGGCAGGGGCUGGCUUGGCCUUGGGGGGUUUAGGCGGCAGCGCUGGGGGACAGGGUAAGAAAGACACAUUGAGCACCCACUGUAUACUGUGGCUGGCUCCAUUAUAAGCAGCUUGCUGAUCCUGGCAGGACUCCAAGUGAGCAUUCAUGAUUUCCAAAGAUACCAGUUAAUAUGGGGGAGGGGUGUCACCUGGGGGUGCGACCUCCUGCUCCUCCAGCUGUUCCUGAAGCAACUUCUCCACCAGUAACACCGGGAAGUCAGGGCUGGGCUCAGUCCUAGGGGAAGGGGAGGGCAGGGGGUAGGUAGUGCCUUAUGGGCCCAGGGUCCUCCAUGCGGGGCAGAUGUACGGGUAAGCGUGUGUAGAGAAGAGGAGAUGGCGGGCAGGUGUGGGAGGCCCACUCCUGUUUAUACAUAUGCAGGAAGCACUCAAUAAAUGUUCCUACAACAAACGCACAGGAGUCUGGCACCUGAGGAGUAAGGGGAGGCACACAAGUGAAGGUGACGGCGCCACCCACCAGCCUCUUCGUGGUCUGGGCCCCAUCCCUUCGAGUCUCAAGGCUGCCGGGGUCUUCCGGGAACUACAGAUCCCACCCUUGUUAUCCUUACUCGUCCUGGUGUCACAACAGCUCUGGCCUCUUAACCCCAGGGCCAUGUUCACACUUCUUUAUCGCUCCUCGACCCCACCCAGGGCGGAGGCUCCCCCGCCCGCCCUCCGUUUAAAGCCCUCCCCUUUCAGCUCCGGCUCGGCCCCGCCCCCUUUGGCGCCUCACCCGUCAGGCGCGCCCCCUGGCGGCGGCGAGGGAGGGGGCGCACGCAGCAGCAGGGACCCGAAGGUGGCGCCCAGGGCACGCACGGCGGGGCCCGGAGCGGGGGCACGCCGGGCCACCCGGCUCAGAUGCUGGAGCAGGAAGCGCAGGAUUUAGGGCUCUCAAUCCAAUGACGGGCAUCCUUACAAGAGAAGACUGUGUCAAGACAAAGGCAGAGAUUGCAGUGAUGCUCCCACAAGCCAAGGAACACCUGGAGGUGCUAGAAGCUGGAAGAAAGCAAAGAACCACCCACUCCUCAGACCUCCAAAAGGAGCACAGCCAUGCCGACACCUUGAUUUUGGACUUCUGGCCUCCAGAACCCAGAACAGGGAGAAAAUACCCUGUUGCUUGAAGCCACAGAGUCUGUGGGAGUUCACUACAGCAGCUGCUGCCGCUGCUUGCUGGGCAACCUUGGGCACAGAACCUGCCCUCUCUGUGCCUCAGUUCCCUUGAGCAAGAAACUAGCUCAUGGGGUCCUCUCCCCCUUAGUUCAGAAGAAUAAAAGGACGGUAUCCCCUA